Long non-coding RNA from Gadus chalcogrammus (walleye pollock), 366 nucleotides. RefSeq lists it as uncharacterized. The record is from RefSeq and is a predicted model, not a curated record. The transcript has 3 exons. NCBI's taxonomy places the organism in Eukaryota, Metazoa, Chordata, Actinopteri, Gadiformes, Gadidae.
GUCGGGAUGUGAUCGCGCUCCUGCCUGCCGUCGAUGAUCACAUGGAGCCGCGGGAUUACCAGACGCCGCCGCCAACUCCACGACACGCAGUCCUCGCUCCCCAGCCGACGGACCAGGAGAGGAGGUGCCAGGAGUAGAGCAGAGGACAGAGGAAGCAGCAGGAGUAACCAGGAGGCACCAGGACGAGAGAGGAGGCACCAGGAGUAACCAGGGGGCACCAGGAGGAGAGAGACCCCGGUGAUGGAGGUGAGCGGUGGGCCGGCGUCUGAACUCCACCCCACAGGAACCGCCCUCCCCGCCGAGGCCCUCCGGCCCGGUCCCCAGGCCCCGGCAAACCACGAUGGAGCGGACCCCCCCGCCCACACC